Molecule: long non-coding RNA, 163 nt
Organism: Maniola jurtina (meadow brown)
Lineage: Eukaryota; Metazoa; Arthropoda; Insecta; Lepidoptera; Nymphalidae
Exons: 3
Source: RefSeq, a predicted model, not a curated record
GAUUUUGCAUAGACUUAAGUUUCAGUUAAACGAGACAGAUUAAUUCCAGCGGUAUAAUGCUGUCUCAUUUUAACAAUGUAUUAAGUCUGAGCAUAGUCAAAGUACGCACUAUAGAUCUCAGCGUAAUGGCUCAUUUCUGGUACACUGAUAACUGCGUUAAGUG